RNAcentral lists this ribosomal RNA (229 nucleotides) under uncultured bacterium. RNAcentral describes it as "partial 16S ribosomal RNA". It matches the Rfam family "Bacterial small subunit ribosomal RNA", at positions 104 to 334 of the family's 1533-position model. The record is from RNAcentral.
CGGGGUGAGUAAUGUAUGGGGAUCUGCCUGAUGGCGGGGGGUAACUACUGGAAACGGUAGCUAAUACCGCAUAAUGUCUGCGGACCAAAGCGGGGGACCUCCGGGCCUCGCGCCAUCAGAUGAACCCAUAUGGGAUUAGCUAGUAGGUAAGGUAACGGCUUACCUAGGCGACGAUCCCUAGCUGGUCUGAGAGGAUGAUCAGCCACACUGGGACUGAGACACGGUCCAG